UUCCCGCGCGUCCCACAGAAGGCGUGCUUCACUUCCAGGAAUGUAACAUUCCCGGAACCUUCCCGCUUUGACAAACCGCAGGAGAGAGCAGCUCGAUUUAAGUAGCUCCUGGGAGCCGAUCCAUCUGUGUCUGCUGUACAUAGCGCUAGUCAUUGUGCCGAGCACAGUAUACUAGCUGCAGUGUUGGCUGAGAUACAAACAACAGGCGGAGAUAAUGCAUCGCCCCGCGCGCCCGUCUUCACAACCAACCAUCUCGCCGUACGUGACUGAAAUGACAGCAACCAGCCGGUGGCCUCAGCGGUGGUAAUCUGGAGAUAUCGACGGGAGGAGGGCUCGGCGUUUACCGAGGCUUAUUGCUUCAUCUCCGCCGGGGGAAUUCCCGUGUCUUGAGGGUGUCGCGAAUCGGUCUGUGUUGGGAGCAAUUUGGGAAGAGUUCGGCGGCUUCGACUUGCGGAUGCACUACACAAAGGUGAGAAGUGCCGACUUGCAGACGGGUCCGAAGUGAUUUCGUCUGUAGACGUCUUUAGAAGUCUUGACAACAUCCCUCACGACACGCGGCGCGCACAGCUAUAAUUGAAUGAAGAUCAGGUCAAGUUUAUAAACACCCAGGCAACAAGUCGAUGAAAUCUGAGGGUCUGAUGGGGGAGGAUUGAUCUCCUGACACACACAACAGAUGCAGCAGCAGCAGGGCAGAAGAGAUAACUAUUGAGGAUACGAACA
Long non-coding RNA from Branchiostoma belcheri (Belcher's lancelet), 720 nucleotides. RefSeq lists it as uncharacterized. NCBI's taxonomy places the organism in Eukaryota, Metazoa, Chordata, Leptocardii, Amphioxiformes, Branchiostomatidae. The record is from RefSeq and is a predicted model, not a curated record. The transcript is spliced from 4 exons.